This 170-nucleotide ribosomal RNA is filed under the name Staphylococcus aureus. RNAcentral describes it as "partial 16S ribosomal RNA". It matches the Rfam family "Bacterial small subunit ribosomal RNA", at positions 1 to 164 of the family's 1533-position model. Lineage: Bacteria; Bacillati; Bacillota; Bacilli; Caryophanales; Staphylococcaceae. The record is from RNAcentral.
UUUUAUGGAGAGUUUGAUCCUGGCUCAGGAUGAACGCUGGCGGCGUGCCUAAUACAUGCAAGUCGAGCGAACGGACGAGAAGCUUGCUUCUCUGAUGUUAGCGGCGGACGGGGGAGGAACACGUGGAUAACCUACCUAUAAGACUGGGAUAACUUCGGGAAACCGGAGCU